GAUGAACGCUGGCGGCGUGCUUAACACAUGCAAGUCGAACGAAACACCUUAUUUGAUUUUCUUCGGAACUGAAGAUUUGGUGAUUGAGUGGCGGACGGGUGAGUAACGCGUGGGUAACCUACCCUGUACAGGGGGAUAACAGUCAGAAAUGACUGCUAAUACCGCAUAAGACCACAGCACCGCAUGGUGCAGGGGUAAAAACUCCGGUGGUACAGGAUGGACCCGCGUCUGAUUAGCUGGUUGGUGAGGUAACGGCUCACCAAGGCGACGAUCAGUAGCCGGCUUGAGAGAGUGAACGGCCACAUUGGGACUGAGACACGGCCCAAACUCCUACGGGAGGCAGCAGUGGGGAAUAUUGCACAAUGGGGGAAACCCUGAUGCAGCGACGCCGCGUGAGUGAAGAAGUAUCUCGGUAUGUAAAGCUCUAUCAGCAGGGAAGAAAAUGACGGUACCUGACUAAGAAGCCCCGGCUA
Molecule: ribosomal RNA, 473 nt
Filed under: uncultured bacterium
Lineage: Bacteria
Description: bacterial SSU rRNA
Rfam family: Bacterial small subunit ribosomal RNA
Source: RNAcentral